UGAACGCUAGCGGCAGGCUUAACACAUGCAAGUCGAGGGCAGCAUGAGUGUUAGCAAUAACACUUGAUGGCGACCGGCGCAAGGGUGCGUAACGCGUGGGUAACCUGCCCUGUACACACGGAUAACAUACCGAAAGGUAUGCUAAUACGGGAUAAUAUGUUUUGAUCGCAUGGUCGGAACAUCAAAGCUCCGGCGGUACAGGAUGGACCCGCGUCUGAUUAGCUAGUUGGUGGGGUAAUGGCUCACCAAGGCGACGAUACAUAGGGGGACUGAGAGGUUAACCCCCCACAUUGGUACUGAGACACGGACCAAACUCCUACGGGAGGCAGCAGUGAGGAAUAUUGGUCAAUGGACGCAAGUCUGAACCAGCCAUGCCGCGUGCAGGAAGACGGCUCUAUGAGUUGUAAACUGCUUUUGUAUGAGGGUAAAAUUAGGUACGUGUACCUAACUGAAAGUAUCAUACGAAUAAGGAUCGGCUAACUCCGUG
This 487-nucleotide ribosomal RNA is filed under the name uncultured bacterium. Its description in RNAcentral is "bacterial SSU rRNA". It matches the Rfam family "Bacterial small subunit ribosomal RNA", at positions 30 to 507 of the family's 1533-position model. The record is from RNAcentral.